GCGGGUGUGGUGAAAUUGGCAGACACGUUAGAUUUAGGUUCUAAUGCCUUAUGGUAUGCAGGUUCAAGUCCUGUCACCCGCACCA
This 85-nucleotide transfer RNA is filed under the name Ruminococcus sp. RNAcentral describes it as "tRNA-Leu". It matches the Rfam family "tRNA". Rfam says of the family: Transfer RNA (tRNA) molecules are approximately 80 nucleotides in length. Their secondary structure includes four short double-helical elements and three loops (D, anti-codon, and T loops). Further hydrogen bonds mediate the characteristic L-shaped molecular structure. tRNAs have two regions of fundamental functional importance: the anti-codon, which is responsible for specific mRNA codon recognition, and the 3' end, to which the tRNAs corresponding amino acid is attached (by aminoacyl-tRNA synthetases). tRNAs cope with the degeneracy of the genetic code in two manners: having more than one tRNA (with a specific anti-codon) for a particular amino acid; and 'wobble' base-pairing, i.e. permitting non-standard base-pairing at the 3rd anti-codon position. Lineage: Bacteria; Bacillati; Bacillota; Clostridia; Eubacteriales; Oscillospiraceae. The record is from RNAcentral.